RNAcentral lists this ribosomal RNA (443 nucleotides) under uncultured bacterium. RNAcentral's name for it is "bacterial SSU rRNA". It matches the Rfam family "Bacterial small subunit ribosomal RNA", at positions 28 to 489 of the family's 1533-position model. The record is from RNAcentral.
GACGAACGCUUGCGGCGUGCCUAAUGUAUGCAAGUCGAGCGGUGACGGAGCUUCGGCUCCCGAUCAGCGGCGAACGGUUGAGUAACACGUAGGCAACCUGCCCCGAAGUGGGGGAUAACUCAUCGAAAGGUGGGCUAAUACCGCAUGUGGAUGGCGCCCGCAUGGGCGCUUCUCCAAAGCCGCAAGGCGCUUCGGGAUGGGCCUGCGGCCUAUCAGCUAGUUGGGGGGUAACGGCCUACCAAGGCGGCGACGGGUAGCUGGUCUGAGAGGAUGGUCAGCCAGACAGGGACUGAGACACGGCCCUGACUCCUUUGGGGGGCAGCAAUGAGGGAUAUUGCACAAUGGGCGAAAGCCUGAUGCAGCGACGCCGCGUGGGUGAUGAAGUCUCUCGGGAUGUAAAGCCCUUUUGUCGGGGACGAGAAUGGACGGUACCCGGCGAAUAA